GCCAGGCAUGAUGGCACAUGCCUGUAGUCCCAGCUACUCGGGAGGCUGAGGUGGGAGGAUCCCUUGAGCCCAGGAGUUCUGGGCUGUAGUGCGCUAUGCCAAUCGAGUGGCCACGCUAAGUUCGGCAUCAAUAUGGUGACCUCCCGGGAGCAGGAGACCACCAAGUUGCCUAAGGAGGGGUGAACCGGCCUAGGUCAGAAACGGAGUAGGUCAAAAUUCCCAUGCUGAUCAGUAGUGGGAUCGUGUCUGUGAAUAGCCACUGCACUCCAGCCUGGGCAACAUAGCGAGACCCCGUCUCU
RNAcentral lists this signal recognition particle RNA (299 nucleotides) under Aotus nancymaae (Ma's night monkey). RNAcentral describes it as "Metazoan signal recognition particle RNA (ENSANAG00000012430.1)". It matches the Rfam family "Metazoan signal recognition particle RNA". From Rfam's summary of the family: The signal recognition particle (SRP) is a universally conserved ribonucleoprotein. It is involved in the co-translational targeting of proteins to membranes. The eukaryotic SRP consists of a 300-nucleotide 7S RNA and six proteins: SRPs 72, 68, 54, 19, 14, and 9. Lineage: Eukaryota; Metazoa; Chordata; Mammalia; Primates; Aotidae. The record is from RNAcentral.